Molecule: ribosomal RNA, 190 nt
Filed under: uncultured bacterium
Lineage: Bacteria
Description: partial 16S ribosomal RNA
Rfam family: Bacterial small subunit ribosomal RNA
Source: RNAcentral
GUCUGCAACCCGACUCCAUGAAGCUGGAUUCGCUAGUAAUCGCGCAUCAGCCACGGCGCGGUGAAUACGUUCCCGGGCCUUGUACACACCGCCCGUCAAGCCAUGGAAGCCGGGAGUGCCUGAAGGCCGUGACCGCGAGGAGCGGCCUAGGGUAAAACUGGUGACUGGGGCUAAGUCGUAACAAGGUACC